AUUGAACGCUGGCGGCAUGCCUUACACAUGCAAGUCGAACGGUAACAGGUCUUCGGGUGCUGACGAGUGGCGAACGGGUGAGUAAUACAUCGGAACGUGCCCAGUAGUGGGGGAUAACUACUCGAAAGAGUGGCUAAUACCGCAUGAGAUCUACGGAUGAAAGCAGGGGAUCGCAAGACCUUGUGCUACUAGAGCGGCCGAUGGCAGAUUAGGUAGUUGGUGGGAUAAAAGCUUACCAAGCCGACGAUCUGUAGCUGGUCUGAGAGGACGAUCAGCCACACUGGGACUGAGAAACGGCCCAGACUCCUACGGGAGGCAGCAGUGGGGAAUUUUGGACAAUGGGCGAAAGCCUGAUCCAGCAAUGCCGCGUGCAGGAUGAAGGCCUUCGGGUUGUAAACUGCUUUUGUACGGAACGAAAAGCCCCGGGUUAAUACCCUGGGGUCAUGACGGUACCGUAAGAAUAAGCACCGGCUAACUACGUGCCAGCCGCCGCCGUAA
Molecule: ribosomal RNA, 498 nt
Filed under: uncultured bacterium
Lineage: Bacteria
Description: partial 16S ribosomal RNA
Rfam family: Bacterial small subunit ribosomal RNA
Source: RNAcentral